ACGGGUGAGUAACACGUGGGCAACCUACCUUAUCGACUGGGAUAACUCCGGGAAACCGGGGCUAAUACCGGAUAACAUCUAGCACCUCCUGGUGCCGGAUUAAAAGAGGGCUUCUUGCUCUCACGAUGAGAUGGGCCCGCGGCGCAUUAGCUAGUUGGAGAGGUAAUGGCUCCCCAAGGCGACGAUGCGUAGCCGACCUGAGAGGGUGAUCGGCCACACUGGGACUGAGACACGGCCCAGACUCCUACGGGAGGCAGCAGUAGGGAAUCUUCCGCAAUGGACGAAAGUCUGACGGAGCAACGCCGCGUGAGUGAUGAAGGGUUUCGGCUCGUAAAGCUCUGUUAUGAGGGAAGAACACGUACCGUUCGAAUAGGGCGGUACCUUGACGGUACCUCAUCAGAAAGCCACGGCUAACUACGUGCCAGCAGCCGCGGUAAUACGUAGGUGGCAAGCGUUGUCCGGAAUUAUUGGGCGUAAAGCGCGCGCAGGCGGCCUUUUAAGUCUGAUGUGAAAUCUUGCGGCUCAACCGCAAGCGGCCAUUGGAAACUGGGAGGCUUGAGUACAGAAGAGGAGAGUGG
This 578-nucleotide ribosomal RNA is filed under the name uncultured bacterium. RNAcentral's name for it is "bacterial SSU rRNA". It matches the Rfam family "Bacterial small subunit ribosomal RNA", at positions 102 to 664 of the family's 1533-position model. The record is from RNAcentral.